RNAcentral lists this ribosomal RNA (965 nucleotides) under Escherichia coli. Its description in RNAcentral is "partial 23S ribosomal RNA". It matches the Rfam family "Bacterial large subunit ribosomal RNA", at positions 623 to 1591 of the family's 2925-position model. Lineage: Bacteria; Pseudomonadati; Pseudomonadota; Gammaproteobacteria; Enterobacterales; Enterobacteriaceae. The record is from RNAcentral.
GCGACUUAUAUUCUGUAGCAAGGUUAACCGAAUAGGGGAGCCGAAGGGAAACCGAGUCUUAACUGGGCGUUAAGUUGCAGGGUAUAGACCCGAAACCCGGUGAUCUAGCCAUGGGCAGGUUGAAGGUUGGGUAACACUAACUGGAGGACCGAACCGACUAAUGUUGAAAAAUUAGCGGAUGACUUGUGGCUGGGGGUGAAAGGCCAAUCAAACCGGGAGAUAGCUGGUUCUCCCCGAAAGCUAUUUAGGUAGCGCCUCGUGAAUUCAUCUCCGGGGGUAGAGCACUGUUUCGGCAAGGGGGUCAUCCCGACUUACCAACCCGAUGCAAACUGCGAAUACCGGAGAAUGUUAUCACGGGAGACACACGGCGGGUGCUAACGUCCGUCGUGAAGAGGGAAACAACCCAGACCGCCAGCUAAGGUCCCAAAGUCAUGGUUAAGUGGGAAACGAUGUGGGAAGGCCCAGACAGCCAGGAUGUUGGCUUAGAAGCAGCCAUCAUUUAAAGAAAGCGUAAUAGCUCACUGGUCGAGUCGGCCUGCGCGGAAGAUGUAACGGGGCUAAACCAUGCACCGAAGCUGCGGCAGCGACGCUUAUGCGUUGUUGGGUAGGGGAGCGUUCUGUAAGCCUGUGAAGGUGUACUGUGAGGUAUGCUGGAGGUAUCAGAAGUGCGAAUGCUGACAUAAGUAACGAUAAAGCGGGUGAAAAGCCCGCUCGCCGGAAGACCAAGGGUUCCUGUCCAACGUUAAUCGGGGCAGGGUGAGUCGACCCCUAAGGCGAGGCCGAAAGGCGUAGUCGAUGGGAAACAGGUUAAUAUUCCUGUACUUGGUGUUACUGCGAAGGGGGGACGGAGAAGGCUAUGUUGGCCGGGCGACGGUUGUCCCGGUUUAAGCGUGUAGGCUGGUUUUCCAGGCAAAUCCGGAAAAUCAAGGCUGAGGCGUGAUGACGAGGCACUACGGUGCUGAAGC